This 466-nucleotide ribosomal RNA is filed under the name uncultured bacterium. RNAcentral describes it as "partial 16S ribosomal RNA". It matches the Rfam family "Bacterial small subunit ribosomal RNA", at positions 28 to 507 of the family's 1533-position model. The record is from RNAcentral.
GACGAACGCUGGCGGCGUGCUUAACACAUGCAAGUCGAACGGAAAGGCCCUGCUUUUGUGGGGUGCUCGAGUGGCGAACGGGUGCGUAACACGUGAGUAACCUGCUCUUCACUUUGGGAUAACUUCAGGAAACUGGGGUUACUACCGGAUCGGAGCUCCCGCUGCAUGGUGGGGGUUGGAUAGUUUGGGCGGGUGGGGAUGGACUGGCGGAUUACCCGUUUGUUGGUGGGGUAGUGGACUGCCAAGGCUUUGAAGGGUAGCAGGCCUGAGAGGGUGAACGGUCAAAUGUCCACUGGGAGGCAGCAGAGACGAAUACUGGACGAAGCAGGGAAGAAUGGCACAAUGGGCCGAAGCCUGAGGAAGCAACGCCGCGUGCGUGAUGACGGCCUUCGGGGUGAAAACCGCAUUCGCCUGAGACGAAGCGGGUGUGACGGUAAUGGGAAAAGAAGCACCGGCUAACUACGUG